GCGCUCCCUUCAGCAGCACAUAAACUAAAAUUGGAAUGAUACAGAGAAGAUUAGCAUGGCUCCUGCACAAGGAUGACACGCAAAUUCGUGGAGUGUUCCAUAGUUUU
RNAcentral lists this small nuclear RNA (107 nucleotides) under Mustela putorius furo (domestic ferret). Lineage: Eukaryota; Metazoa; Chordata; Mammalia; Carnivora; Mustelidae. The record is from RNAcentral.